GUGACAUUCAACAGCGAUCCAGUGAUAAUCUUAUGGUGUGUAGCGAUGGUCGCGUUUUUAAAUAGAAUUUUUCGCGAGAUAUCCUGAGUGGUAGUAAGAGCCAAUGGAGCCGUGUCACGUUUCUGUUCGUGUAGAGAAGCGAUGCUCUCGAUGAAGGUUUCGAUGGCGAUGAAGCGCUCCCUUAAAACUCUGAAGAUGCAGUCACCCCAUCUUGCCUUCGUACUGAAGCGGUGUUCGAUACCGAGAACGGUUAUAUUCUACCCCCACUAGGGGGAUUUCCGUGAUGCACAAGAUGGCCGGCGGGUACCGGGAAAUAACGCCUGCGCAACCCCGUUUACUCUAUACAACGGCAGCAUCUAUACUAUGGGUACUGAUUGUCAGUGCAUGAGAUUUCCUUGGGUUUUUGCCUUUGGAUUCCUACCGAGUCCCCAGCACCUUCAGCCUGACAUUUAUUCAGCCUUGAUGAGUAGCGUGCGGCACCUCUAUAAAGGAAUCAAAAUGAAUGUAGAGACGAUAAGGUACAAGAGGGAAAAGAUAUCCCUUAGGAAAUCCCUGUGAUAAUCCAAAGAUAUCAAAAGGGUCCAUUGGAUGAAGAGAUCUACAUUUUUGAGUCCACUUCAAGGACCAAGUAGGAACCUAACCCAGUAGGGUAGAACCACCUUCGGAUGAUGCAAUACUUUUGAGUAAUCCUGUAUGUGUAAGAAUUUAAUUUUGAAAUUUGUAACGAUCGAUUUUGCGCUAAAUUUGCCUGGACAUGUUGCAGAA
Molecule: long non-coding RNA, 765 nt
Organism: Cephus cinctus (wheat stem sawfly)
Lineage: Eukaryota; Metazoa; Arthropoda; Insecta; Hymenoptera; Cephidae
Exons: 3
Source: RefSeq, a predicted model, not a curated record